AGAAAUUCUUUCUCCAUAUGUCCCAGCCUACCUCCCCUUUACCGAGGCCAACAGCCACCGCAGAAACCAGAUUCAGGAGCUAAAAUGCCCCAAGUCUCACCUUGAAGGUGAGGAUCAGAGCCUCGAGAGGCCAGAAAAGGAAGUCGAGAUAGUCAAGCGGGCCAUCUCAGAUCUGGUCAUGCUGGAGCUGUACAAAUGCCUCUCAUGGAGAUGUGAUGACCUAUCUAUUAUGACCAGGGUCACAUCUGGGGAGGGCAACAGACUUUCAUCUAUCAGCCCUUUUCAACCACUGAUAUACUAAACUGGAAACACUCUGAACCCCACCACCUUGCUCCUGGUAUCAGAGAGCCCUGUUGUGCAUAACUAUGUAGAAGUGUUGGACUCAGUUUACUGCAGGAGACCUGACCUCCGGGACCAGCCUUGGGCAUCAGUAGACUGGAAGCUAUAUGUGGACAGGAGCAGCUUCAUCAACCCACAAGGAGAGAGAUGUGCGGGGUAUGUGGUGGUAACCCUGGACACUGUUGUUGAAACCAGAUCGUUGCCCCAAGGCACUUCAGCCCAGAAAGCCGAGCUCAUUGCUUUAAUUCGGGCCUUAGAACUCAGUGAAGGCUUUCUAUGGUCCGGUGCAUACACUGAAGGGCCACGAAGUACAGUCAUCCCCACUUGGCACCGGGAAUACAAGGGUGGAAAGCAUCAUUUCUGCCAGCUUCUUAUGGCCCUGAAGUGAGACAGUCACGCGAAAGGAAAACUGCAAUGACUUCUGACCACUGCCAGCCUCGCUUCCUGCAUUUUCUUCUUCGGCUUACUCUUGCCAAGUUGGAGUUGCCUAACUUCCAAGAGGUUAUUUGCUCUUUUUUUUUUCUCACUCCACAAACUCUUCCCAGGUAGUUCAGUCCACUCCCUUCUCCCAGUCGCUGUAUGCCAAUGAAUGCCAGUAUUAAUCUUUCCAGCUUAGACAUUGUUCUUGGAUUGCAGACGUGAGGUUUCACUUGUUUACUAGACAUUGCUGACUGAGGAUCCCUAGCAUAACAUGGCCCAAGUUCAAUGUAUUUGCAAAACUGUUUCAUCUCCUUUAUUCUCUGUAAUGAUGUUGCUAUCCAUUCGGUCAACAUACUCAGAAAUAUCACCCCUUCCUUCCUUCUUCCAGGAUGAGUUGCUCAUGACAUGACCAUGUUUUGGCAGUGUACUCUUUCUCCAUUCCCAUCACUUAGUAAGAAUCAUCUAGGUUAUGCUGAAGUACAAAGUUAAUCUCCAAAUUUCUCUGGCUCAGUACAGAAAAAGUCCAUUUUUGCCUUCUGCGAUGCACCCAGUGCAGGUCUGCAGGGUCUCUGCUGCACGUUGUUCCCCAGGGACUCAGGCUGAAGAGGCCCCCUUGUCUUAUCUGGCCACCUCCUCUGCACACGGUUCAGGAUUUUCCAGGCAAGGAGUUGAGCAGGGGCUUUUCAGUGCUGGGCCUGGAUGUGACGUAAGAUGCUUCUGCUCACAGCUUCGUAGUCACAACAAGUUACAUCAUCCUUCCUAAUUGCAGGGAUGCUGGGCAGCGUAGUCAUCCACAGAUCAGGAGAGGGAUCAGAGGUAGGUGUUCCCGGGCUGCAGUGAUCUCCACCGCACUGCUGUGGGCUGAACUGUGCCCUCCACCCCACCAAGCUUAUAUGCUGCCAGCCUCACCCUCUGUGCUUUAGAAUGUGGCUGUAUCUCGAGAUAGGGUCCUUACAGAGCUAGUUAAGUUAAAGCAGGGUCAUUAGGGUGGGCCCUAAGCUACUCUGACUGGUGUUUUUAUGAGAAGAGAGAUUAGGACUUAUAGGGAGAGACACUAGGGAUGUGAGCACACAGAGAAAAGACAGUGUGAAGACAUCAAGAAGGUAGCCAUCUCCAAUCCAGAGGGAGAUGCCAGGCACAGCCCUUCCCUCAAAACCCUCGGAAGGAACCAACCCUGCCGACACCUUGGCCUUGUAUUUCUGGCCUCCAGAACCGCAGGAAAGUACCAUUCUGUUGCUUAGGCCGCCCAGCCUGUGGUACUUUGUUAUAGCUUCUCACCCAGUUCAGGCCCUUUUAAUUGAUUGCUGGGCCUUUGCAGUUGUUUUUGCUUGUAAUAUAUUCUUCUCUCAAAUUAUUUCUGGAGGCUGCCACCAGAGGGCAGAACUUCAAUUGGGUCCCUAAUCAGAAACCUUGCUGGGAUCAUGUGGUCUACAGCACAGGGUUGCUAAAGCAUCUUCCGCCAGAAUUCUGUGAGUAUCUGGUUAGGUGGGUCUGGAAAAUACUGAGUUUAAAAAUGUUAUAUAGGUUUCUUUACGGCAAGACGUUUCAGAACCUUUAAUAUGCUACUCUGCUGUAUGAAUCUCCAGGCAGGAAAUCUUAUAAAAUGUGUUUCUGAAAUGAAUUUGCACACAAGAUCCUGUUUUCUUGAAGCCUCUGGUACUGGGUGAAAUGCCCAAUCUCUAGUGGGACUUGCAGGACUUUGCAAU
Non-coding RNA from Chlorocebus sabaeus (green monkey), 2465 nucleotides. Lineage: Eukaryota; Metazoa; Chordata; Mammalia; Primates; Cercopithecidae. The record is from RefSeq and is a predicted model, not a curated record.